RNAcentral lists this long non-coding RNA (5590 nucleotides) under Mus musculus (house mouse). RNAcentral's name for it is "long non-coding RNA chr6:91528262-91533852". Lineage: Eukaryota; Metazoa; Chordata; Mammalia; Rodentia; Muridae. The record is from RNAcentral.
GCCUCAUGACCAAGGUCACCUAACAACAUCACAAGACGAUGACAUCACCAUCAGCUCUGGCCCAGAGCUCAAAUAACGGAGGGAAAGGGCAGGUCAUCCUCACGGCAGGGUGACAGAGCUGGUGCCAGGCCUCUGCCAACUAUCAGGGCCCAGGAGUGUUGCUGAAAGCUACCCAGGAGCAGCUCAUCCCUGCCUCCGCUCAGCCAGCGCUCUCACAUGCUCAGAACAGUAGAGUCUCACCAACAGGGGUCCCCACCCCCACCUUUUCCUAGAAGCAAGGUUAGCAACUGCCAGAGUCAAAAUAGAUGUGGAGAGAAUUGUGUGGCAACACUCGGGUUUAGUUCAAGCACACUGGAUUGCACGAUAUCCUUAGAGGGCAGAGCCAUUGCAGGAGGGAUCAAAGCAGCCGGCCUUGCUCUUCGGGCUGAUGUUUCUGCCAUGCUGCAUGUCAAACAAUCAUGUCUUUGGAGCCCAGAUGCCCUGCUUUGUAGGUAAGCCACGUGUAGAACUUCAUGUAAGGAAUCAUUCUGUCAAAGUAAAUAGUUGUCCCAAACUAUUUAUUUCAUGUGCUCUGGUGGCCUGCACCUGUAUUCUCACAAUACACACAAACACACAUACACACACACCAUUUUACCAAUGUGCACAUACAUAUAUACACACACAGCAUAAGAUAAAAUGUACCAUCUUAACAAUGUAUAAGUAGAAGCACUCACAUUGUUGUGAAUGACUGAAGAUGUCCCCUACCUGCCAAGUCCCUGUUCCACAACACAGUACUUUAUUACUUUGUCUAGACUUCUUUUUCAAAGGUUUCAAAUCCAUGGGCAGUAUUCAAAAUAUGAGAAGAAAGCUGUGGCGUGUAAAAGGAACUUUUAUUUACCUGUACUAAUUGUUGUCUCCAAGGCCUACUGCCUCAAUCUGCUAACCUAGGCCUAAUCCUAGAAGCUUCUAGCAACCAUACAAUCUUAGCUAGGCCUAGAAUGUCUCAGCUUCUGAAACUUACUGCUGAACAAAUUCACUGUUUCUAUUUCUUUUUGAGCUCUGGCUGACUGGUUCAACUCAGCUGUUCUGGCUCAAACUCCUCUCCAAGCUGACUGAUUGAAUCUGGCUUCUCUUGGUCUCUGACUGAAUUGCCCUACUCGGCCUCAAACUAACUCUAGCAAUCUGUUCUAAUCUUCUGGCUCCUUCUCAUUCUCUGGCUCAUUCUGUCUUUACCUUCUCAUUCUCACUUUCAAAUAUGGGUGCUUCCUUCUACAAACUAACUUUCUCUUCGUUGUUUAGAAUUAAAGGUGUGUACUAAGAUCGAGCCACACUACAACUAGAAACGGGUUUUUCCAGUGAACAAAACAAUCUCAGGGUUCACACUGUGAUCAAAUAUCCUGCAACAGUGGAGCACCUUCAUCCUUCAUCACAGCCGCACAUCGCUAGGGAGAAUCCAAGAUUGGUAAAAAGAUAGCUGGCCUCGGAUUGACUGGAGUAAAGACUCUCCAGACAGAAGGCCCAGCUUGCUGCCGACCCCCAGGCUCCCCAGACCACUGGAGCAGCAUUCAGAUACAUGGCCCAUCUCACCCACCUCUUACCCCACCUGCCUUUCUCACCUUCCUCUCCUCCUUCAAACCAAACCCACUGGCUGCUUUGCUAUUCCUCACACAGGUCAGGCUCAGUGCCUCCUAAGUCCCUUCCCACUGGACCCUCCCUCCCCUUAGAAUCAUCUCCAGUUGUGCUGAGCAACAGCCCCACUUGCCAAGUUCAUAAAAUUCUUGAUGAUCAAAAUAUCCUACACCAACUAAGUCACAGUUUCUAGAGCCUUCUGGGUUGAUAUUUAAACACAAACAAACAAAAGAGUAAAACAUCUCCUCUAAGAAGUCUAGUGUGUAGCCGCUUUCAGAGCCAAUGUCUGGAUGAGUGUUUUUCAAAAUGCAAUCUCAGGUCAGUAGAAGCAGCAACAGUACCUGGAGAUGUGUUAGAAACUCAAUGUGCUUAGAACAAUAGCAAAGCAAGACCUCCUUCCCAAUUCCUAAGAUACCAAAUGAGCAAUUUGGGGUAUAGAGUCAGGAGCACACAUUUAAACAAGCUCUGAGGUGACAUGCCUACCAGGUUCUGAGAAGUACUGGCUUCCAUCCUUCAUGUUCAACCUGUCUUGUGGGUCGGGAGCACAAGAAUUCCCCGAAGCUGUCAGAGUUCAGAUUCCCAGUGCCAUCCCCACUAGCAAACAAGACCUGUUGGAUCAACUGUUCUUGGUGAUUCAUACAUGUUAGGAAUUGAGAUGUCUCUCAUCCCUGUCUUGAGGGACUCAGAAGCCAUGAAACACUGGGAGAAGAGCCUGGCCUGCCUGGGUCUCACAUCUUAAUUAUCUUUGCACACUGAAAGGCUCAGGCUUGGUAGAGAAAAGGCUCAGGCCAGGGCUGAGGCAAAGAAAGAACCAGAGAAUCUUGAAACAUCCUACUACGUCAGAGAGCAGGGGAAAACCUGCGGAUGUAGCCCAGUCAGCAAAGUGCAUGGCCCUGUAAGCACUAAGACUUAAAUCUGAUCCCUGUAUUCACUCUAAAAGGCUGGACAUGGUGGCGUGCGCUUGUAAUCCUAGUGAUGGGUAAACGGAGACAGCUGGAUCCCUAGGGCUCCCUGGUGAACCAGCGUAACCAACUUGGGGAGUUCCUAGCCUGUGAGGGAAUGUCUCAAAAAUAGGUGAGCAGGCUGUGCCUGAGGAUAUCAUUUGAGGUUAUCCUCUGGCCUCUCCAUACCCGCCUGCAAGUAAGUGUAUCUGUACACAUGCACACACGUGUGUGCACACCUACAUACACACAAAGCAAGGAAACUUCAAAAAUGAGGGUGAUGCCAGCUCCAGAAGCCAGUUUAAAGAGUGGUCUGAUUUUAGAUGAAUCUGAUUGUAGUGAUACAAACUAUUAAUGUGUGAAUCUGUGAUUUUGUAGUUAUAAGAUGAUUAUAGAAAGAAGUGUGAACACAAAAACUCCUUCUCACAGUAAAAUACCAACUUCUAGAGUAGAGAUUUGGUUCAGUGAGCCUUAGGGCACCCAAAACCCAUGUGGGUAAGGGGCUUGGCCUUAGAUUACGGUGCCAUUGGGUGGCCGUGGGAACUCUAGGAAGCAAGACCCAUUGGGAAGAACCUAGUAAAGUGAGGGCGUGACGUUGGGACCUGGCCCAUCCCUCUGCUUUCUUUCUACCGUGGAGCAGGCAAACGGGUUGUCUGUGCCACAUGCCUCCUCCAUGAGAUCAUAGCUUACAAUGGGCCCAAAGCAAUAGGGGCCAAGUGAUCAUGGACUUUCACUUCUGAAGCCAUGAGCUAAAAUUAUCCUUUCUUCUCAGAUAUUUUUUCAGGUGACAGAAAGCUGGCUAACCCACAACUACCAAGGAGAAGCAAAGAUAAAGGCAAUUGCCCAUGAAUGGUAAAAAUGAAUUAGGGCCCAAAUAGAUGGAUGGUAAAAACGCCACCUCUUCUCCCAACAAGCGACAUAGUCACUACUGAGAGGAGACCGAUGGCAGAGUAGACCAGCGAGGUGGAGUCCUCCUUAACCCAGCUAUCCCACAAAUCAGCACCAUGUGCCUCCUGCCACUGCACACUGCUGAUUCCAUAUCACUCUGGUGGGUCUCCUUCCAAAACAGGUAUAAUCUCACCUGAAUCCUUCAGAACUGUCAAUCAAAACCCAAGUGGGAAGGCUUCCACAGAGAGGUCCUACCUGGCCACUCCUCCAGCCCGCCAUACCACUCCACUCCCACCACUCCCAGGCCCCAUCAUCUAUUUUUCUUUUCACAUGUAUUUAAUUCUGUUUCUGUCUCUGUCUCUCUUUCUCUCUGUCUCUCUCUGUCUAUCUCCCCCUCUGUCUUUCUAUGUGUGUGUGUGUGGGGGGGGGGGGGGUUGAGGGGGACUACUCGUAGGAGUCAGACUUUUUCCAAUAUGUGUGUUCUAGGGAUCGAGGCUAGGUCCUCAGGCUUAUCAGCAGCCACCUUUACUGCUGAGCCGUGUUGCCGGCCCACAUCACCUGUUUCGUCUUCUCCCAGCACUCUGUGUUGUAAACCAUCUCUGUUUAUAUAUAUCUGUCUCCGUGUUUAGGGUCUCCUCCCGCCAGAAUGUAAACUUCCUAAGCAUGGAGAAUGUCUCCAUCUGAUGCGUCCUUCAGACCGCAGGCGCCUCAUGGAUACAUGUGGAACGAUAAAUGAAGAACCCGUUUCCCCAUCUGCAGGACAAACAGCUCCGGGUCCAACAGCCAGGCUCUUUCCUGGUCUGACAAUGAAAUGAAGAAUCUGAGGAUGUGAGUGCUUCAGUGGAGUUCCGGGGACCUCUCUAUGCUGCCUGGGCAGAGGUCAAGUUCAGUAGCUCACCCUGCCUUAGCCUCCAAGCACACAUAGGCACAUGCCACCAUGCCUGGCUUGGGCCUCCGCUUUAACUCUUCCUUUCUCAUAUAACCCUCUCCCUGAUCCUACAACCCCUCUGACAACGUUGAAUUCAGUUCAUUCUCGAUGAGCUGAUAGGCACUGAGCACCUACCUAUUGAGCACUGGGAACCCAGGGUCUGGUCCCUAAGGAGCUUGGCACGUUAACAGGAGCUUGGCUGAGAAACACUAGGACUUAGUUGCUUAACUGGCUAGCAUCACGUAGCAAAUACACAGCUGGGCUGGGAAGCUGCUUGGCUCUCUACACUGCAGGUGAGAUGCUACCCUAAAGACUAGAAGCAGUGGAGCAGAGUGUGCUCAAGUGCCAGGUGGCUCCCCUCAGAGCUUACAAGCCCACCAGUGUCCCACGACCUCAGCCUUUGUCCUCUACCGUACCCUUCUGGCAGAGAGGGAACGUGCGGGAUCUCGGCUCUUUCUGGUUGUGUUUCUCAUUACUCCACAGCCUUCAGGCCGGUUUUCUUUAGAUAAACCCGAGACUGCUCUGCUUGAGCAACGGUCAAAUUCAACCCAAGAAGUAAUCUAAGUUGGAGAUGCAAUCAAAUAACCUUGGCAGGGGGGAAAAAACCCAAUAACAACAAAAAGGAAAAACAAAGUAACAAAACAAAAACCCACUUCAAAAAAAAAAAAAAUGUCUCCAGAAGAAACUGAGCAUGAAGAAUUGAAACAAUGUAAGAGAACAGGAUAUUUCUUAAAAAGAUGUUUUAUUUCUCUUCAGCUCAUUGAUCUUGUCCCUCCCUAGAAGUUUGAAAGCUUUCUCUGCCAAUUAAUCUCUACACUCAUAACCAGCCCCUACCCCCUCUAUAAUCUUCAGCCUCCAAAGCAAGGACUACAGUUAGCAAGACAAAUGUUUGUCUUGGAAGAUCAAUUACCGCACUGGGAGGUCUGAGAUUCCUGGGGUUUAGUGCGUGCCUUGCCUUGGACUUGCUCGGUGACCUUCGGAUCUCUGUGCAGGGGUGUCUGAGACUACACAAGGAGCCAUGUCCUGAGAUUGCCCUGAGUUCCCGAAGAGGGUACUUGGCCAAGGAUAUGAUUUAUCUAUGCCCAUAAAUGCUGCUCUCCCUCCUUCAGGAAGCCAGCUAAUUAUGUUAAGAAUUGAAAAUGCAUUUUCUGUGGGCAUUUGAAGGACGGUCUUUACAGGAAUGUGUGGCAGAGAGUGUGUGAAUAAAAGAGACACAUUAACAAAG